AAAUGAAUAGACGGGGGCCCGCACAAGCAGUGGAGUAUGUGGUUUAAUUCGACGCAACGCGAAGAACCUUACCUGGUCUUGACAUCCCGUGCAUAGCCUAGAGAUAGGUGAAGCCCUUCGGGGCACGGAGACAGGUGGUGCAUGGUUGUCGUCAGCUCGUGUCGUGAGAUGUUGGGUUAAGUCCCGCAACGAGCGCAACCCUUGCUGAUAGUUACUACGAAAGAGGACUCUAUCGGGACUGCCGUUGACAAAACGGAGGAAGGUGGGGAUGACGUCAAAUCAUCAUGCCCUUUAUGACCAGGGCUACACACGUACUACAAUGGGCGUUAACAGAGGGGACCGAACCCGCGAGGGGGAGGAAAUCCGAUAAAAGCGCUCUCAGUUCAGAUUGCAGGCUGCAACUCGCCUGCAUGAAGUCGGAAUUGCUAGUAAUCGCGGAUCAGCAUGCCGCGGUGAAUACGUUCCCGGGCCUUGUACACACCGCCCGU
RNAcentral lists this ribosomal RNA (488 nucleotides) under uncultured bacterium. RNAcentral describes it as "bacterial SSU rRNA". It matches the Rfam family "Bacterial small subunit ribosomal RNA", at positions 903 to 1397 of the family's 1533-position model. The record is from RNAcentral.